UACGUAGGGCGCAAGCGUUUGUCCGGAAUUAUUGGCGUAAAGAGCUCGUAGGCGGUUCGGUAAGUCGGUGUGAAAUCUCCGUGCUCAACACGGAGCGGCCACCUGAUACUGCCGUGACUCGAGUCCGGUAGGGAGUGUGGAAUUCCCGGUGUAGCGGUGAAAUGCGCAGAUAUCGGGAGGAACACCAGUGGCGAAGGCGGCGAUCUGGGAAGAUACUGACGCUGAGGUGCGAAAGCGUGGGAGCGAACAGG
Molecule: ribosomal RNA, 251 nt
Filed under: uncultured bacterium
Lineage: Bacteria
Description: partial 16S ribosomal RNA
Rfam family: Bacterial small subunit ribosomal RNA
Source: RNAcentral